Syngnathoides biaculeatus (alligator pipefish) is the source of this 4682-nucleotide long non-coding RNA. RefSeq lists it as uncharacterized. The record is from RefSeq and is a predicted model, not a curated record. Lineage: Eukaryota; Metazoa; Chordata; Actinopteri; Syngnathiformes; Syngnathidae. The transcript has 3 exons.
CUUAAUAUCAAUGGUAAUAUCGUAAAUUAAUCAAGUGUCAUUUUGAAUGUUAUUUUGUUUUGUUUUUUUGAACAUGCAUACUGCAUGCAGAAGAUGUAAAUAAUUCUCUCUACUCACAUUUUAAUGCAUUUUGUGUUCACCCUCAGGACCAUGCAAUAUACCAAAGGACAGUCUAUUAAAUUGACAAAUUCAAUUUUAAUUUUAGUUUAAUUGAAUAUUAAAGGUUCUGGCAUAUCUUUUUUUUAAAUUAUUAAUAACAGGCACAAUUGAUUGUCAUUCACCAAACAGGACGAGGUUAUUGACUCAUUUCAACAUGUCAAUCCAAUAUGUGGAAAUCCAUUUGUACACACUUCCAGUCACCACCAAAUCACAUCACUUGAACCAUUCAGAGGAAACAGGAAAACAGAGAGUGAGAGAUUAACAAAUGUCAAAUGGAAAAUAUGCAUAGAUUUCUCCUGUAACUUACACAAAAUAAAAAUAAUCAUGCUUAAUAAAUAUUAAAAUAACUCAAAUACGCAUAUAUUCUUAUAUCAAACGUCCCGUCCCCCCCACAUAUGGCACCAAUCUGUAUGCUGUACAUCAAUAAAGUGAAAGGAAAUUGGAUAGCAAGGAGACUGCAAUGGUUUCACCUUUAUCAAAUUCAGAUAAAUGAUUACCUCUUUGUGACAAACAUAACACAUAUGGUGAAUAAUUUCUGAUACUCCAGAGCAGAGCACUAAACUUUCCACUUGUGUAAUGGAGUGGCGUGUCAGUGCUAAAAUGGCCGAAUGUGGCUGUAAUGCAAUGAGGCAGGACGCUGUUGGAAGUUUGGGCCCCGUGGAAAAAAACAGUUUGAGCAUGUGUAUAGACAACAACACAGAGAGUUUCAGAAGCCUGCUGAACUAUGCUGGUCUUAUUCUUGUAUGAUUACGACUCGUCGGUCUCCAGAUAAAUCGAAUCAGUCUGCAUGGCUCUCAGACUGAAAGGUUCUGACAGAUCAAUGGGUAUCAUAGUUAAUACCCACUUGUUUUUCUCGAGCUCUGGAAUGUUUGCUGCUGGCCGACACACCCUAUGGCCGUUUUUUUUUUUUCACAGCCAGAUCAAAACCAUCCUUCGCCUCGAGAAGCCUUGUCGAUCCGAGGCUGUUCAAAGCCAUCAGAGUCACUGUCCCGCAAAAUCAAUAAACUCCUGCAGCCCCUGUUUUACUUGUUCACUGCCGCCGCCUUCAAUGGUGGACAAAGUUUUCCUAUACAUCCUAAUGGAAAGAACAUCAACCCGAUCAAUAGUUCACAUAUUCAAUGAGCUCUGGCAAGCAGGCAGAAUAAAGUCCCUGGAAGGAUCAACCCAGGAAGUAAUAUGUUGUCUUCUGUGCCUGAAAAUGCCUCUGUGUUGCAGGCAAAACAUAAAUGAGUGAAUGUUUACACGGACACACACAAAAAAACAAAAACAAUGAAGCUGGUUUGUUUGAAAAAUUGAAAAUUAAAUAUACUGUAUAGUCUUUGCAGUCUAUUAAAUUGAAUACAGGUUGAAAAAGAUUUGCAAAACAUUGCAUUGUGUUUCUAUUUAUAUUUUGCACAAUUUACCAACUUCAUUGGAAUUGGACUUUGUAAUUGUUCUGCAUUGGCCACGAUAUGCUGCCAAAAAUAGAUGGUCAAAGUUACAUUAUUUGUAGUACAGUAUAUGAAUAAUAUUUGGACCAAUUAACCAUAGAAAGUGUGGAUAGAGCAAAGACGAGGAUAGAGCAGGAAAUGCCACCAGAUAGUAGUCCCAUUCCUGUCCGCCGUAUCUAAAUGUAAUGUGUCAUCUUAAUUACAAAAAGAAAAGUUUUGUCUGCAUGUGAAGAGGCUCACCUCUUAGGCAUGACAAGACAACAUCAGUACAACCACAUAUUUAUUUGUGGUGCAACCAUUAUUGCUCCUGUGAUUGACAUCUCAGUGGACAAAUGAGAAGUUUACACCAAGAAAACGUACCGUGUGCAAUAUUUCAAUAGUCUUUAUUUUGGCGUGUUGAAGUUAUUGUUAGUCUUCUGAGGGCAGUUGUGCAAUGCUUUAAGUGUAUUUUGUAUUAAUUUUGCUGAGACACUUCAGUUCAUAUUAACUGCAUUAGGCUCAGUAAGUCUUGACAUCAUACAAAGAGGCCAUUGAGAAAGAUUAUUCUCCUUCCACACUUCAUAAUGUUUAUAGUCUUCCUAAUGAAAAGGUCAAGCUAUGUCUUUGUUUCAAAUGGUUCAGGACAAAAUGGAGAUAUCCAGUAUAUUUCAUUGGGAUUGGCGUGGCACAAUUUCAUUUGUGUGUUGAGUGCUUUCAUUCUAAUUGGAUCAGAACAUUUACACCAUUUAUUCAUUCACAUCUCCAAAAGCAGUGGAACUACCUUGCAAGUAGAAGAUUAGGCCUCAAUUGACAGGCCUCUUCACAUAGAUGUAGUAACCACAUUUCAUUCUCUCUUCUAUGAUGUAAUUAAGGAUGUCUCCGGGUUUAUUAAAUAUCAGUGUCAGUGAUUUUCAAGAAAAAUUCUCUGUCGAUGUUUUAGAUAUGAACAGCAGCAUAACCAAUGUUCACGCAUCAUCCAUUGCUGCUACCUUUUUCAAACAAAACAUCACUCAUGCUAAAAGAGCUUAAAGGAUUAAAUCACCAUAUUAAAUCACCAUGUGUCCCGACAUCUUAACAGAUCUGACUCUGCUUGGAUACACAAUUAAAUUUAUUGUCUUUUUAUUUUUAUUUAUUUAUUGAAUAAAUCUUUGUGUCACGGUCGGGGUUAGCGAAGGUGUGGAGGGCCCAAGUGCAGGAACGCAGGGAUGCCAGCCAGGAAUCCAAGAAUCCCAAAAAAUACUUAACUUGAUAAAACAACAAAUUAAACAGUCCAACAACCAAAUAAUCAACGUAAGAAAUUAGACCUUAAAGGUCAAGUGUCAUCCCUAUAAACAUUCAAAAAUAGAUAUUGGAAUGAAAAAUUCACUUCAAUGUCUAUCCCAAAAAAAUAAAUAUGUGCAGAGAGCGCGUCAUCCAUGCGCAAAGUCAUUCAACAACAUCCAUGUGGUCGCCAUAUUGUCUGCAUCCCCUGUCCGUGACGUCAACCCGGACAUUUGCCAUUGAAAACACGCGGUGGACCCUGCUAUGGGAGACAAACAUGCCCCUUGUGACACGGAAGGUCUUUUCGAAGAAGAGAACAUCACACAACCGAGCCGGCGAAGGCUGCUGCGUCGCCUCGCCAGUGAGCCCAAUGCCGUCCGACAUGCACAUAGCCACAUUUAGCACGUCUGUCAUACAUACGCGUAUCUUUUGUUAAGUUAUGAGAGACCGAUUACGUGGUCCACCCCAAACUAUUAUUUUUUUUCGUACCUGUAUACACACCUUACUGUCAUUAGGAACUCACAAAGCUCUCGUUCUUUGCACCCGUGCAACCCAUUUUUCACGACAAACCGGGUCUCUUUCAAACUUAUGAAGGGUAAUUCCAUUCUCCCGAGUGUUCAAGCAAUGUCCAGCAAUGCAACGAGCCGGCAUUUUAGCUAACACGAAGGAACAACGAGCUACCUUCCCAGAGGUAAAACAAAUAGAAACAAAUGAGUCCACUUGAAGGCGGUCCUGUCAUGUACGUCACUUCCUGCUUCUUCUCGAAAACAAAUCCCUCGAGAGGAUUUUCAUGGCGGGAGUUACAAAAAGGUGUAUACGUCUAAAUCAUGUUUUGUGGUGAAAAAAACGCAUGGGUCCACGUCGGCUGCCGCUUUUUCAUUAAUAACAUGGUAAAAAUCAUGCAUUUCAUGACAGUGGUCCUUUAAAUAAACCUAAACUAGACAAGGUGUGGCACAGAGACAUAGUGGCAUGGGCAGUACAGACAUGAUGUCAACAAUGCAACAGACUGACAAGAACUGAACAAAAAAAAACGGAGAGUUAAAUACACAAAGAUUGACGAGACAACGUGGAACACCUGGACAAGACAUGAGUGGAUGGAGGGAGCUGAUUUGUCAACACAUGGAAGGAAGGUAACCCAACACAACCAAAAUGGCAGCCAGAACAGUUUUGAUAAGCGUCAUUAUAAAUAUCUAUGUCAAGUUUUACAGCAUCUUCUUUUGCUAACUCACUUGUCUCCUUCUAUGUGAUAACAGACACUGAAAAAUAUCAAAUAGUUAAUGAAAUAUACUCAGGUCUCAUGUGUGCGAUGUUUCAGUUCGUAUGUCGUUUUUCUUUAGCGUGUGGUCAGUCACGCUUCCUGAGUGGCAUUCUCAGUGUCAGCGCUGUAGUCAUUUUGGCUGCAGGCAUCCUGUCGCUGUGGUGGAUUUACUGGCAACAUGACCCCCACCCCCUCUCGUCGGCUCUUUAAUUACCCUGGACUAUUGAUCCUCCAUGGGACACAGCACUCCGGAGCUGAGGCUGGGCCUGCACCAGUUAAUGACUGAUUAUUCCCAUGUUGGUCCCACGGGAACCGACAGCCGCUGCCGGAACAGAAGGAGCCUGACACCACUGGAACUGUUCAGCCGUGUUCCAAGCUGACUUGAGUGUCUUCGUUGUAUGUCCUCAGACGUGAUCAUUUAUUAAUGUGUGCUUCAGCGGAUGCUUCAGAACUCACACAAACAGCAAGGCACAGACAACUGGAGCCUAUAGAGCUUGUGCAUGUGACGUCACCAUUUUCACGGCGCCAUAUUGCCAGUCAAAAAGAGCUGCUCGACAAUGUGGGGGACAUUGAACCGGAGCAGAAUAUUCACAAUG